UACGUAGGGUGCGAGCGUUGUCCGGAAUUAUUGGGCGUAAAGAGCUCGUAGGUGGUUUGUCGCGUUGUUCGUGAAAACUCACAGCUCAACUGUGGGCGUGCGGGCGAUACGGGCAGACUUGAGUACUGCAGGGGAGACUGGAAUUCCUGGUGUAGCGGUGGAAUGCGCAGAUAUCAGGAGGAACACCGGUGGCGAAGGCGGGUCUCUGGGCAGUAACUGACGCUGAGGAGCGAAAGCGUGGGGAGCGAACAGG
RNAcentral lists this ribosomal RNA (253 nucleotides) under uncultured bacterium. Its description in RNAcentral is "partial 16S ribosomal RNA". It matches the Rfam family "Bacterial small subunit ribosomal RNA", at positions 524 to 776 of the family's 1533-position model. The record is from RNAcentral.